RNAcentral lists this long non-coding RNA (337 nucleotides) under Mytilus galloprovincialis (Mediterranean mussel). Lineage: Eukaryota; Metazoa; Mollusca; Bivalvia; Mytilida; Mytilidae. The record is from RNAcentral.
UGUGGUAUAUUGAACCCCUACUCUAGGCCUUUAAUUUUAGAAAUUCUGGCAAUUCGAACUGUUUUUAUGUAGUUAGAAUACACCAAUAAGUAGUUUGUAUGUAUUUAACUUGCUGGAAAAGAUAUUUUGAAAAUUUUACUUUGCCAUGGUAUUUUGACCCCCCUGCGGUAUAUUGAACCCCCUUCUCUAGACCUUUAAUUCAAAAAAAUUUGGCAAUUUUAACUCUUUGGUGUAGUUGGAAUACACCAAUAAGUAGUUUGUAUGUAUUAAACUUGCUGGAAAAAAUAUUUUGAAAAAUUUACUUUGCCAUGGUAUUAUGACUCUCCUGCGGUAUAUU